This is a non-coding RNA of Phascolarctos cinereus (koala), 274 nucleotides long. The record is from RefSeq and is a predicted model, not a curated record. Lineage: Eukaryota; Metazoa; Chordata; Mammalia; Diprotodontia; Phascolarctidae.
UCCUCUACAAUCACUACAAGCUUAACUUGUCUGUAAAGGCUUUGCUGUGCAGAGGAUUCUGAAAGUGAAAUUGGGGGACCCUCUUCCCCUGAAAGUUUCUGCUUCUGUUAUUUGCUCAGGGGAUAAAAGUUUUGAGUGAAUAUCAGUCACUGAAACUGAGGAGGAGUUUCUAGUGGGUGGUGACUAAGCGAAGUGUGUGAACUUGGGCUCCAAGAAGACAUUCUGUGACUACAGGAAGGAAGAUUCUGAAGAUCACCUGCAAGAUAAAGUAUUG